GAUGAAGAACGUAGCGAAAUGCGAUAAGUAAUGUGAAUUGCAGAAUUCAGUGAAUCAUCGAAUCUUUGAACGCACAUUGCGCCCGCCAGUAUUCUGGCGGGCAUGCCUGUUCGAGCGUCAUUACAACCCUCAGGCCCCCGGGCCUGGCGUUGGGGAUCGGCGGAGCCCCCCGUGGCACACGCCGUCCCCCAAAUGCAGUGGCGGUCCCGCCGCAGCUUCCAUCGCGUAGUAGCUAACACCUCGCGACUGGAGAGCGGCGCGGCCACGCCGUAAAACACCCAACUCUUCUGAAGUUGACCUCGAAUCAGGUAGGAAUACCCGCUGAACUUAAGCAUAUCAAUAAGCGGAGGA
Molecule: unclassified non-coding RNA, 351 nt
Filed under: soil metagenome
Description: partial contains 5.8S ribosomal RNA, internal transcribed spacer 2, and large subunit ribosomal RNA
Rfam family: 5.8S ribosomal RNA (bases 1-120)
Source: RNAcentral